AUACAGAGGGUGCAAGCGUUAAUCGGAUUUACUGGGCGUAAAGCGCGCGUAGGUGGCUAAUUAAGUCAAAUGUGAAAUCCCCGAGCUUAACUUGGGAAUUGCAUUCGAUACUGGUUAGCUAGAGUAUGGGAGAGGAUGGUAGAAUUCCAGGUGUAGCGGUGAAAUGCGUAGAGAUCUGGAGGAAUACCGAUGGCGAAGGCAGCCAUCUGGCCUAAUACUGACACUGAUGUGCGAAAGCAUGGGGAGCAAACAGGAUUAGAUACCCUGGUAGUCCAUGCCGUAAACGAUGUCUACUAGCCGUUGGGGCCCUUGAGGCUUUAGUGGCGCAGCUAACACGAUAAGUAGACCGCCUGGGGAGUACGGUCGCAAGACUAAAACUCAAAUGAAUUGGCGGGG
RNAcentral lists this ribosomal RNA (396 nucleotides) under uncultured bacterium. Its description in RNAcentral is "partial 16S ribosomal RNA". It matches the Rfam family "Bacterial small subunit ribosomal RNA", at positions 523 to 918 of the family's 1533-position model. The record is from RNAcentral.